GGGGAUAUAGCUCAGUUGGUAGAGUGCUUGCCUUGCAUGCACAAGGUCCUGGGUUCAAUCCCUAGCACCACCA
RNAcentral lists this transfer RNA (73 nucleotides) under Ictidomys tridecemlineatus (thirteen-lined ground squirrel). RNAcentral's name for it is "Spermophilus tridecemlineatus (thirteen-lined ground squirrel) tRNA". It matches the Rfam family "tRNA". From Rfam's summary of the family: Transfer RNA (tRNA) molecules are approximately 80 nucleotides in length. Their secondary structure includes four short double-helical elements and three loops (D, anti-codon, and T loops). The record is from Rfam by way of RNAcentral. Lineage: Eukaryota; Metazoa; Chordata; Mammalia; Rodentia; Sciuridae.